Molecule: ribosomal RNA, 253 nt
Filed under: uncultured bacterium
Lineage: Bacteria
Description: partial 16S ribosomal RNA
Rfam family: Bacterial small subunit ribosomal RNA
Source: RNAcentral
GACGUAGGGCGCGAGCGUUGUCCGGAUUUAUUGGGCGUAAAGAGCUCGUAGGCGGCUUGUUGCGUCAGCUGUGAAAGCCCGGGGCUCAACUCCGGAUCUGCGGUGGGUACGGGCAGACUAGAGUGAUGUAGGGGAGACUGGAAUUCCUGGUGUAGCGGUGAAAUGCGCAGAUAUCAGGAGGAACACCGAUGGCGAAGGCAGGUCUCUGGGCAUUAACUGACACUGAGGAGCGAAAGCAUGGGGAGCGAACAGG